Molecule: long non-coding RNA, 3027 nt
Filed under: Androctonus crassicauda
Lineage: Eukaryota; Metazoa; Arthropoda; Arachnida; Scorpiones; Buthidae
Source: RNAcentral
GAAUUUUUUAAAUAAACUCGGCUAUCACCGACAGUGUUUUUAAAAAUCGGGGGAAAAAUCCCUUUAAGUACAGUACGGUAUUAUUAUAUUUUAUGUAGAGUAAAAUUCUUCGUAAUAAUUUAAUCGGUAGAUGUCCAAAUGUUAAAAUUUUUACUUUGGUUUUGGUAAAUGGUGGAAAUAAUUUCUCCCAAGCCGGUUUGUACGGCCAGAUUAUCGUGACCAAUUUUGACCGUUCAACGUUCGUUAAUGACGCCGUCAUAAAGGAAUCUUCAUCGACCAACCGAUAAAACGAACGGACACCAGGGACGAUUUCCGAUAGGAGCUUAGAUGGGUAUGAUCCGACCGACUAGGAGGAUAAAAUAAGAAAGGUGGUAUUAACUUUAGUAAUGUGGCCAUCGGGAUGUUUAAAACCGGAUAAAAGAUCAGACUUUCUAAGUAACCCAACCGGACGGGACCGAGAACCAUCGGUCGGACCAUUAGCUGGCUUACGGAAUAGGAAAAUUUUUCGCGCCCCACACAAAUCGGCUACCGAAUAAUUUCGGUCCAAACUCGCUCUUUUAUUAAAUAUAAUUCAGGCGCGCCAUCUGACGGUGAUCGGCAUUUUUACCCAGAAGGCCGUGGGAACCGUGUCGCGGGAAACGGUCGGUACCAGCGCGGGCCGCUAUAGCCAGUCGGCCUUCCGCCUUUUAAGGCCAAUGCCAACCACCGCCGGAGAAUAAUUCGGCGGGUAGAAGGCCAAACACUCGUUUCUAUCCAACCACCGUCCAAAUAUAAAUUUACCAUUCCAGGAGAAAAUAGGCCAACGUACUUUGUGUCUGGCUAAGUUACGCCGGAAAACCGACAUUUAGAGAAAGUUGAGAAAACGCUCCGACCGGGCCGGAUGGUUCUUCGGCUGGUCGGAGAGUAGAAUCACCUGGCCCGGUCCGAUAGUUAAGAAUAGUUUUCCAAGCUGCACUCGGGAAUCGUUUUACUGGUGUGGUAGACUUCUCCGUUCGGACGGAUCCGAUAGAAGACGGACUGGUAAAGUGUCCGAAAGAUGGCGCCCGUCAUAAUUUUCUCGGUCCAACCGUAUCUCGGUUGGGUGGGAUUCGGCCCGAGUCGAUGUCGAGAUGGCCGAGACCCAGACUUUGAGGCAGGAUUUCUGUCGGUCCGACCAUUAAUCGGCGCGCUAGACCACGGAACAUAAAGGAACCGAGUCGGAUAGGCGGUAUUUUGUCCACCCGACCGGUGGCAAAUAUCUAAACGGUAGGGCCGAGAGGUAUGGAAAGUAAUGUCGGAAACUGGGUUAAGUUUUUAUCCGGAUAGUAUAGAACCGUACCGUUUCGGUUAGGUUAGUUAAGUGGCCAUACGGCGCACCUCACCAGCUCCGUAUCUUGUCGGAGAAUAAUUUGGCGAUUAGGGCUGAAACAAGGAGCCCAGCAAUAAACACCAUAUUUUAAUCCCGCUCGGGGUUAAAAUACGGUGUUUAUCUGUCGGUUAAGUAGUCGAAGUCGGGCCGAUAGUAAUUUUUAAAAGUAUCGAAAUCCGUCUGGAUUUACCUCUCCGAGAAUCUGCGGGUCGGAAGGCGCCCGGGCGUAAUUUUCUUUAACGCGAUACCGUGGGAUGGAAAUUUUCCGGGAUCCAGCUGGGUAAUAGGUUUAAAAGUAAAGUAAUGACCCAGCCAGAAUAGUCGGAAAGAACUCUUCUGAUGGAUUUGGAUAUAAAAGCUGGGUUAACCAUUAGUUAAUACAUUCUCCGGGAAGGGGGGCGCCGAAUCCCCGUCACCCGUCCACUAAACCGGGAAAUAAGGAAAUUUUAUCUCGGAGGAAGGACGACCGGCCUUAUUUAAUUAAGUGUCUACAGAUGGCGCUACCUUUAACUAUCACUACGACUAGCCGAGAUAUUGGGGCGAUCACUCCAACCGGUAGCCAGUAGAAUCCGGGCCGGUUAAUAGGAGACGGAAUAAAACGGCCGGAUGGGCCACCCUCCGUCCCACGGAGAAACCCAUCGAUUACUAAGCGUAUAGAAAACACAAUUUGGACGGAUGCGAGAGCGGGAGAAAAUCCGUUUCUCCGGCUGCCGCUCCAUCAGCCGUAGGGAAGAGGAAGGAAGGGUCGAAGUCCGAGGGGUCUCGGGCGGAGCCCCCUGGCCGGGCGAGGUCGACCGGUGGUCGAUGGAUCGACUAAUAAAAGUCGAAAUCGGAACGCGUCCAAGGUCACCGCCAACCGCUAAGCCGGCGCCUAUAUAAAGGCCAGCGGGACCGGCACCGGCGCUACCGUCGUCCGGAAAUGAACAGAUUGGUGAUCGUCUGGUUGCUGCUGGUCCUGAUGGAAGGCUCCCGGACCGAAUACGUGGGUUACUUGUCUUCCGACCGCUACUACGGAUACAAGAGAGUGGGCUACAACAGUCGCUACGGUACUCCCAACUAUAGCAUCCAACUGAGUGGCAACAAGGAGGCCGCUCCGCUUCCGUCCGCCUAUCCAGCCGCCGGCUCGGCCCGGGGCUUCUACAGUUACACCGACAUUCGCCACUGACCGCCGGGCUGGGCCGCUGUACGUUUACCGUCGGUCGACCCACCCGGGCCCGCUAAUCCCGCUGCCAUCCACCCGGUCGAUGUCGAGCCAUAGAAAUGUAAAAAUUGGGUGGAACGUCGGAUGGGACCGACAUCUUAUGUACUAAAGAAAAAAAUGCGGAAUUUGUUACGGAAUAAAGUGCCGCGGCGUAAUUAGGCUCAUCUGUAUAUUGUCUUUCAUUAUUAAUUCGUUAAAUCGUGCCAUAUUAAAUAUAACUCAGGUGAAAUAUGUUCGGAUAGAACAAAUUUUUUAUCCAUCGGUUUCUCUCAUUCUUUCGAUCCAACCGCGUUUCUCGCCUCCGCAUUCGGAGCUUAGCCACCGUUAAAACCGAGUUACAUCUAGCAGACAAUAAUACCUUUGGGUGGAGCGGAGCUCUAUCAAAAACCAAUUAAUAGGCAAAUUUUGAUUAAUGACUAUUAUGACAGUGGCCAAACUGCCACACGCGGCUCUUCGCUACCUUCGAUGUGGCUCCGUA